AUCCGAGUGACGAGUUCCAAAUUGGACGAAACGCGCGUCCUGGAU
RNAcentral lists this non-coding RNA (45 nucleotides) under Schistosoma haematobium. Lineage: Eukaryota; Metazoa; Platyhelminthes; Trematoda; Strigeidida; Schistosomatidae. The record is from RNAcentral.